Non-coding RNA from Nonlabens marinus S1-08, 399 nucleotides. The record is from Rfam. Lineage: Bacteria; Pseudomonadati; Bacteroidota; Flavobacteriia; Flavobacteriales; Flavobacteriaceae.
GGGGUCGACUGGUUUUGACAGCGAGACCGAGUUGAUUGUAAGCAUGUAGAGCGCUGGAACAUAGCUCUUAAAUAUCAUGAUUCAACUUUUUUAAACGGCGAGAAUAACUACGCCCUAGCAGCAUAAUCCGAAUCAUAGUAGGAUGUGCCUCGGCCCACUAGGUGGGCAUGCAGGAAUUCUCUCAAAGGCCUUGGUUUAUGGCACUUGAUCUAGAGAAUUCGUAAAAAUAGACCUAUCCCCAUCAGGGCUUUGAUGAUGGAGAGACACUCAAUUGAAGAUAAGGGAUGCGUUGGUGGUUUCUGACCGGCAACUCCACGAAAAGUUAAACAGAAACUAAACAUGUAGAAAGCGAUGAAGUCGCUCGUUUGGACGAGGGUUCGAAUCCCUCCGACUCCACAC